CAAUUACUUAUAUACCCCUGAAAAGUUUCCGACUUUCUGAUUUACCCCUCUUAGAAGGCUAAUAUUGAAAAUACCCUUUUUACGUUCCAACCUAUUUUAAAUAUAUCCCUAGAGUUAAAAUCUGUUAAUGAACUUUGUUAUCUGUAUAAAAUUACUAUUUUGCCCUUUCAAAUAUACCCUUCCACCAUCACCGAGUUUUAUUAUUUUUCCUUAAGUCAGGGGCACAAAAAGUAUUUUGAUUUUUGGUCUUUUCAAAUAUACCUCUCCACCGUCACCAAUAUUUCUUAUUUGCCCUUAAGUUAAGGGCAAAAUUGGCAUUUUAAUUUUUUUUAACUGUGGUAGAUAUUUAACUCACGUUUAACUCAAGUUAACAUAAUGGGUGGUAACGUAGGGGUAUUUUGGAAUAACGGAGGAACAUAUGAGGGGUAUAUUGGAAAGAAAAAAAAAGUAAGGGUAAUUGAGACAUUUCCGAAGUUUUGAGGGGUAUAUAGGCAAUUAU
This 499-nucleotide long non-coding RNA is filed under the name Ananas comosus (pineapple). RNAcentral describes it as "long non-coding RNA (ACOM_LNC009165)". The record is from RNAcentral. Lineage: Eukaryota; Viridiplantae; Streptophyta; Magnoliopsida; Poales; Bromeliaceae.